Molecule: ribosomal RNA, 186 nt
Filed under: Yarrowia sp.
Lineage: Eukaryota; Fungi; Ascomycota; Dipodascomycetes; Dipodascales
Description: partial large subunit ribosomal RNA
Rfam family: Eukaryotic large subunit ribosomal RNA
Source: RNAcentral
GAUUUUUAUGACAGUUUUGAGUAAACACAUCCAUUGGGACCCGAAAGAUGGUGAACUAUGCCUGAAUAGGGUGAAGUCAGAGGAAACUUUGAUGGAGGCUCGUAGCGGUUCUGACGUGCAAAUCGAUCGUAGAAUUUGGGUAUAGGGGCGAAAGACUAAUCGAACCAUCUAGUAGCUGGUUCCUGC